This 803-nucleotide ribosomal RNA is filed under the name uncultured Bacteroidota bacterium. RNAcentral describes it as "bacterial SSU rRNA". It matches the Rfam family "Bacterial small subunit ribosomal RNA", at positions 263 to 1069 of the family's 1533-position model. The record is from RNAcentral. Lineage: Bacteria; Pseudomonadati; Bacteroidota.
GCCUACCAAGGCGACGAUCAGUAGGGGUUCUGAGAGGAUUAUCCCCCACACUGGUACUGAGACACGGACCAGACUCCUACGGGAGGCAGCAGUGAGGAAUAUUGGUCAAUGGGCGCAAGCCUGAACCAGCCAUCCCGCGUGAAGGAUGAAUGCCUUAUGGGUUGUAAACUUCUUUUGUACCUGAAGAAACUCUGGGUCGUGACCUGGACUGCCGGUAGGGUACGAAUAAGCAUCGGCUAACUCCGUGCCAGCAGCCGCGGUAAUACGGAGGAUGCAAGCGUUAUCCGGAUUUAUUGGGUUUAAAGGGUGCGCAGGUGGUUGAAUAAGUCAGUGGUGAAAGUCUGCCGCUUAACGGUAGGAUUGCCAUUGAUACUGUUUGACUUGAGUUUAGGUGAGGUAGGCGGAAUGUGUAGUGUAGCGGUGGAAUGCAUAGAUAUUACACAGAACACCGAUUGCGAAGGCAGCUUACUAAUCUACAACUGACACUGAGGCACGAAAGCGUGGGGAUCAAACAGGAUUAGAUACCCUGGUAGUCCACGCUGUAAACGAUGAUCACUCGCUGUUUGCGAUAUACAGUAAGCGGCUAAGCGAAAGCGAUAAGUGAUCCACCUGGGGAGUACGAUCGCAAGGUUGAAACUCAAAGGAAUUGACUGGGGCCCGCACAAGCGGAGGAACAUGUGGUUUAAUUCGAUGAUACGCGAGGAACCUUACCUGGGCUUAAGUGGGGAGUGACAGCUGGCGAAAGUUGGUUUUCUUCGGACACUCUUCAAGGUGCUGCAUGGUUGUCGUCAGCUCGUGCCGUG